Molecule: ribosomal RNA, 53 nt
Filed under: Calamagrostis villosa
Lineage: Eukaryota; Viridiplantae; Streptophyta; Magnoliopsida; Poales; Poaceae
Description: partial 26S ribosomal RNA
Source: RNAcentral
GCGACCCCAGGUCAGGCGGGACUACCCGCUGAAUUUAAGCAUAUAAAUAAGCG